Molecule: non-coding RNA, 71 nt
Filed under: Proboscia inermis
Lineage: Eukaryota; Bacillariophyta; Melosirophyceae; Probosciales; Probosciaceae
Source: RNAcentral
UUUUUUUUUUUUUUUUUUUUUUUUUUUUUUUAAAAUUAAAACCGCUCGUUUAAUUUUUUUAACAAUAAAAU